AUCUGCCCUCUCACCAGGGCCGCCGUCAAACAGGGGGUGUCAGGCCAAUAUAAGCCCCGAAUAAAACUGAGGGCUCCGACCUGCACCACCUCCCGCUAUUAUACCAGGACUCCCAGCAUUCGCCUGUAGUUAAAUGAGCGGCUGGAGGGUUGUAUCGCUGGAAUAGAGACUGGCAAUCUCGGUUCCGUGGGGACCCGAGGCUAAAGCCCUUUCUUUUCCCUAGCCCCUAACUGGCUCAAUGUGACCACCCCACCACCACCUCGGUUGGCACGGUCCGCUCACUGACUUGUGCUGAGAGAGGAACACUAUACUGAGGUGGAGCAGGAUAUCUAGAAGGAGUGCAGAUUCAAGAACAGAUGAUCUAAUAAACAACUUUGCUGUGGAAGCCGCAGUUGAAUACUUGACCCAAAGAAGCAAACACAUCAGUGCCAUUAAAGCUGAUGCAUUCCAACCAUGGAGGGACACAUCAGUGGAGUCAUAAUCAGUCUCCAGCAUUCAAUGGCAAUCGAAAGUAAAUCGGCAACCCCUCAGGCUUGUCAGCACAGCAGGGAAACUAUUUUUUAUGUCUCCAUUUCUCUGCCUUAGGGCAUGGGUGCUUUUGUUGGAUGUCCUUGCAUUGACAGAUCUCAUACCACAAGUCGGAUGUAGUUGCACAUGUCUAAAAUGAUGUAAGUGAUGUUAGAAUCUAAUCUGUAAACUACAUGAAUGAUUUACCAUACAGCACAACACAACUGUUGGAAGGGGAUAGCCUUUUAUUUUUUGUGGGAAUACAUUGGCUUGUAGGUGCAUUUUAAAACAAGAAACCAUACAGCUUUAUCUGAUCAGAUGAUACAUUACACUAUGGAGGGAUCAGAUUUUGUAGCAUCCCACAAAAUCGCUGUUGCAUGCAGUUGCAUGCAGUUGCAUGACAGUAUUAUGUAGGAAAAUUAGGUCUAGCCAACCCAACCAAAAUCUCCUGUGUACAUCAAGCCUAAGAAUAGAUUUCCUAAUUUUAUAAAACUUGAUAUACAGUAUUCAGGCACUGUGAGUUUUCGCAUCGUAGGGCUUGCAGAAUACAUUUUGGCACUAGCACUAAAUGGAGAUGAAGAGAUUUUUCCCAAGGACACAAGAUGCUGUAACUAGAUUUGAAUUCAGACCUCCCUCAAACACAUUCCAGCAUCUUAAGGCAACCUCUUCCUGAUAAUGCCAAGAUGAUAAUUAUAUAUAAAGGUGCCUUAAUAUGAGAAGAGGACAAUACAGUGUGUAAUUUGCUGUGUGAGUACAGAUUAAGAGACGGAAGAAAUUUGAAGUUAAUUCUAAAUUUGAUGAAGAAUCAGUUUUUUGCUAUACUUGGUUCCAAAGUUAUUUGCAGGUGCCAGAUAUUUACAACAUGUAUAGGAUCUAUUAUCCAGAAUGUUUGGGAAAUGGAGCUUUCUGUCUAAGCAGCCUUUUGUCAUUUGGAUCUCCAUACCUAAAGUCCACAAAAAAAAAAUGUAAACAUUAAAUUAACCAAAUAUGAUUGUUUUGCCACCAAUAUGAAGCUUAGUUUGGAUUAAGUACAAUGUGCUGAUCUAUUUUUGCAGAGAAAGUGUAAAUCAUUUUUUUUAAAUUAGAAUUAUUUGCUUAAAACUGACUCUAUGAGAGAUGGCCUGCCUGUAAUUCAGAACUUCUGCAUAACAGGUUUCUGGACAAGAGAUCCCAUAUCUUAGGACAGAUACAUUUAAGAAUGUUAUUAUCCCUUGCUACUGUUGAUUAAACCCAAAACAAGAUUCAAAGCUAUCAGUUUCAGAAUUUCCCAACAUCUGUGGGUUUUUUUUUUUACGGUCUGUACCUGGAGUCACAGAGCUGCAGUUUUGAUUGGCUGGCAGCUCCUCAGUUGUAUAUGCAGACUCUGCAUUGCAAGAAUGGAAGUGAAUGUUGCAGUAGAUAAUGAACCACUUUAGCAGCUACUGUGUCCUUAUUGGAAAUAUUAACAAGAAAAGUUGUGAUCACUAUAGAUGGGAACCUGCGCAUGCUCUCUAAAGCUAUGUAUCACGUAGAAGUGAAGUUUUAAAAAUUACUUUUUAUCACAUAGACAUAAUACAGCACUGAGGAACAUGCUAGUGCUUCAUAAAUAUGGGUUAACAAUAACAUCAUACAAUUAGAGGAGUAAAAAGCAACUUUUUUACAAAAAUGUAAAGUGAUGUUGAAACGCCUUGAAAGUGUAAUUGCUUCUGAAAGCAAUUCUUGUCUGCUCCUUUGUAUUAUCUGCCCUGCUGGUUCUGACUCCUGAAACAAUGUAAAAGAAGCCAGCUGAUUACCAGUCAUGAUUGAGAAAUGAUUUGUGGUACAUCGAGUCAGAACAGCAGAGAAUAGAGAUAUUUGGGGUGGAAGGAGAAACUUUGCAUGUUCAGUCAUUUUGGUCUUUAUGCUGAUUUUCACCACUUAUAGGAUAUUUUGAUAUGACAUAAAAUAAAAAUAAAAACAUUUUUUUUACCCUUCCCAUAGCCUUUAGUGAGUUAUUUAGUAACAAACUAAACAUUAGAUUUGAUAGCUUGGUGUAAGUUUGGAUUAUACUUAUUUAUACACAGCACUGCAUGAUAUAAUAUAAUAACAUAUUGAUAUAAGCUUUCUUAGUUAUUAUCUAUAUUAUAAUUAGGCUGCAAAUUGGUCAACAAAUGGGUCUUCUUAUGUACUGCUGAUAUCAUUUAUUAGCCUUUGAUAUCUCAUUUCUUCCAGCCCAAAUCUGCAGAUACGAGACAAGUGAGUCACAUUUCUGAUAAAGAGAAGCAUUUCCAAGACAUUAGUGUUCAUACAGCAUCGCUGCACUUCAUUUUAGGGUCAUCAAAUCAAAUGACAGUUUUCUUCAGUUCCAAACCUAAGCACACCUCCUGCUUGCACAGGCGGCUCUUUAGCCUAAAGUACUGGGGAAUUCCAAGAAGUAAAAAACCUAGUCAUUAGACGAAGAGUGGGAUGAUUUGAAUAAAUAAAGAGCAGCAGAUAUAUGCUAUGAGAAUUCCUCCCUCCAAGCAUGCUUGAUUUAAAAUGAGGAAUUGAAAAUCUCCACGUCUCUACCUCUGAAUGACUGAAUUUACUCUAUGGCUACCUUAACACUUUAACAUCCUCAGCACACUGUAACAUAGGGAUAAUAUACAGUACAUUUUUUAAAAAAGUUCUCAUAAUUGUACCUUUUAUUCUAAUUUGAUUUAAUUACUGUGGAAUGGAAUCUUUUUGUGAGUUCAAGGUAACCUGAAGAGUUCAGCACAUAAGGAACGAUAUGAAAACAUGAUGUAAGAGGUAAGCCAGCCAAGAGGAAUGAGUAUGCAAUGGGCUCAUUAAGUGACACACACAUAGGAAUUGCACAAGAAAUGACAACACCCUUGACAAAGAGAAAUUUAACAAUUUAAAGAUAAUUUAAAAUGACCAAAAAAUGAAAACUAACUACCAGUACAGGAUCUAUUAUUUAGAAACCAGGAGAAAAAGAGAAAAUAGCAGUAAUAUUACAUUAGAGGGCUAGUGUAUUAUUAUUGUUGUUGUUAUUAAUAUGUAUUUAUAAAACACCAGUAUUUACCAUGGUAGGGCAAAGUGCAAAAAAGCAACUAUAUAUUUGCAGGGGGAGAGUGUGGGUAGCAUGUGGGGGUCACUCAGAACAACCUGGAUCUGGAGUGCUGGGGAGUGCAAGGUGCUGGGGACCCCCUGUACCUUAUGUGGUAAAAUUCCAUACCCAGCUUUUUUUUUUUAAGCAGGUUUUAGAUAAAGGGAGCACUGUACUUUAUAGACUUUAUACAAAUUGUCAAGGGGCAUCCAUCUGCUUAUUUUGCA
This is a long non-coding RNA of Xenopus laevis (African clawed frog), 3780 nucleotides long. RefSeq lists it as uncharacterized. Lineage: Eukaryota; Metazoa; Chordata; Amphibia; Anura; Pipidae. The record is from RefSeq and is a predicted model, not a curated record. The transcript is spliced from 4 exons.